UACGGAGGGGGCUAGCGUUGUUCGGAAUUACUGGGCGUAAAGCGCACGUAGGCGGCUUUGUAAGUUAGAGGUGAAAGCCCGGGGCUCAACUCCGGAAUUGCCUUUAAGACUGCAUCGCUAGAAUUGUGGAGAGGUAAGUGGAAUUCCGAGUGUAGAGGUGAAAUUCGUAGAUAUUCGGAAGAACACCAGUGGCGAAGGCGGCUCACUGGACCGGUAUUGACGCUGAGGUGCGAAAGCGUGGGGAGCGAACAGG
RNAcentral lists this ribosomal RNA (253 nucleotides) under uncultured bacterium. RNAcentral's name for it is "partial 16S ribosomal RNA". It matches the Rfam family "Bacterial small subunit ribosomal RNA", at positions 524 to 776 of the family's 1533-position model. The record is from RNAcentral.